This 609-nucleotide ribosomal RNA is filed under the name uncultured bacterium. Its description in RNAcentral is "bacterial SSU rRNA". The stretch from base 1 to 544 matches the Rfam family "Bacterial small subunit ribosomal RNA", at positions 338 to 873 of the family's 1533-position model. The record is from RNAcentral.
CCUACGGGAGGCAGCAGUAGGGAAUCUUCCGCAAUGGACGAAAGUCUGACGGAGCAACGCCGCGUGAACGAUGAAGGCCUUCGGGUCGUAAAGUUCUGUUGUUAGGGAAGAACAAGUGCUAGUUGAAUAAGCUGGCACCUUGACGGUACCUAACCAGAAAGCCACGGCUAACUACGUGCCAGCAGCCGCGGUAAUACGUAGGUGGCAAGCGUUGUCCGGAAUUAUUGGGCGUAAAGCGCGCGCAGGCGGUUUCUUAAGUCUGAUGUGAAAGCCCCCGGCUCAACCGGGGAGGGUCAUUGGAAACUGGGAAACUUGAGUGCAGAAGAGGAAAGUGGAAUUCCAAGUGUAGCGGUGAAAUGCGUAGAGAUUUGGAGGAACACCAGUGGCGAAGGCGACUUUCUGGUCUGUAACUGACGCUGAGGCGCGAAAGCGUGGGGAGCAAACAGGAUUAGAUACCCUGGUAGUCCACGCUGUAAACGAUGAGUGCUAAGUGUUAGAGGGUUUCCGCCCUUUAGUGCUGAAGUUAACGCAUUAAGCNCUCGCGNGGNGUAGUCGNGAGAGNGAAUACAAUUAGAUGAGNGNGNGNGNGCGAGCGACGACGAGGAGAGG